This 483-nucleotide ribosomal RNA is filed under the name uncultured bacterium. Its description in RNAcentral is "partial 16S ribosomal RNA". It matches the Rfam family "Bacterial small subunit ribosomal RNA", at positions 29 to 506 of the family's 1533-position model. The record is from RNAcentral.
AUUGAACGCUGGCGGCAUGCUUUACACAUGCAAGUCGAACGGCAGCGCGGGCUUCGGCCUGGCGGCGAGUGGCGAACGGGUGAGUAAUGCAUCGGAACGUGCCCAGUAGUGGGGGAUAGCCCGGCGAAAGCCGGAUUAAUACCGCAUACGACCUGAGGGUGAAAGCGGGGGACCGAAAGGCCUCGCGCUAUUGGAGCGGCCGAUGUCGGAUUAGCUAGUUGGUGGGGUAAAGGCUUACCAAGGCGACGAUCCGUAGCUGGUCUGAGAGGACGACCAGCCACACUGGGACUGAGACACGGCCCAGACUCCUACGGGAGGCAGCAGUGGGGAAUUUUGGACAAUGGGGGCAACCCUGAUCCAGCAAUGCCGCGGGCGGGAAGAAGGCCUUCGGGUUGUAAACCGCUUUUGUUCGGGAAGAAAUCCUCUGGGCUAAUACCCCGGGGGGAGGACGGUACCGGAAGAAUAAGCACCGGCUAACUACGU